AUUCCAGCUCCAAUAGCGUAUAUUAAAGUUGUUGCAGUUAAAAAGCUCGUAGUUGAACUUCUGAUAUUUGAUUUAGCUGGCUUCGGUCGCUUUGUUGAAUAUCAUCCGCUUGGGAACUUAGUGCGGUCUUAACUGGUCGGCUGAGGGAUCAAGCAUUUUACUUUGAAAAAAUUAGAGUGUUCAAGGCAGGCUAUCGCCAUGAAUACACAAGCAUGGAAUAAUGGAAUAGGACUCUCAGUCAUUUUAUUGGUUAUUGACUGGUGGUAAUGAUUAAUAGGGACAGUUGGGGGCAUUCGUAUUUAAUUGUCAGAGGUGAAAUUCUUGGAUUUAUUAAAGACGAACUUAUGCGAAAGCAUUUGCCAAGGAUGUUUUCAUCA
This is a ribosomal RNA of 377 nucleotides. It matches the Rfam family "Eukaryotic small subunit ribosomal RNA", at positions 582 to 975 of the family's 1831-position model.